Molecule: ribosomal RNA, 31 nt
Filed under: Ponticulomyces kedrovayae
Lineage: Eukaryota; Fungi; Basidiomycota; Agaricomycetes; Agaricales; Physalacriaceae
Description: partial large subunit ribosomal RNA
Source: RNAcentral
UUAACUGGGACAAAUAACUGAUUAUUUGACC